CUAACCCAGCAGCAGCAGCGGCUGCUGCUUUUGCUACUGCUGCUAUUGCUGCUGCUGCUUUUGCUGCUGCUGCUAUUGCUGCUACUGGGUUAG
RNAcentral lists this small RNA (93 nucleotides) under Mytilus galloprovincialis (Mediterranean mussel). The record is from RNAcentral. Lineage: Eukaryota; Metazoa; Mollusca; Bivalvia; Mytilida; Mytilidae.